ACCAUUUAUGGAGCUAGCCGUCGAAGGUGGGACAAAUGAUUGGGGUGAAGUCGUAACAAGGUAGCCGUAUCGGAAGGUGCGGCUGGAUCACCUCCUUUCUAAGGA
RNAcentral lists this ribosomal RNA (105 nucleotides) under Staphylococcus xylosus. RNAcentral describes it as "partial 16S ribosomal RNA". It matches the Rfam family "Bacterial small subunit ribosomal RNA", at positions 1438 to 1533 of the family's 1533-position model. The record is from RNAcentral. Lineage: Bacteria; Bacillati; Bacillota; Bacilli; Caryophanales; Staphylococcaceae.